GGAGGGUGCAAGCGUUAAUCGGAAUUACUGGGCGUAAAGCGCGCGUAGGCGGCUAAGUAAGUCGGAUGUGAAAGCCCUGGGCUCAACCUGGGAAUUGCAUUCGAUACUGCUUGACUAGAGUAUGGUAGAGGGAAGUGGAGUUUCCGGUGUAGCGGUGAAAUGCGUAGAUAUCGGAAGGAACACCAGUGGCGAAGGCGACUUCCUGGGCCAAUACUGACGCUGAGGUGCGAAAGCGUGGGGAGCAAACAGGGAUUAGAUACCCUGGUAGUCCACGCCGUAAACGAUGAGAACUAGAUGUUGGGAGGGUUACCUCUCGGUGUCGCAGCUAACGCGUUAAGUUCUCCGCCUGGGGAGUACGCCGGCAACGGUA
This 370-nucleotide ribosomal RNA is filed under the name uncultured organism. RNAcentral describes it as "partial 16S ribosomal RNA". It matches the Rfam family "Bacterial small subunit ribosomal RNA", at positions 527 to 896 of the family's 1533-position model. The record is from RNAcentral.